Molecule: ribosomal RNA, 93 nt
Filed under: Variovorax sp.
Lineage: Bacteria; Pseudomonadati; Pseudomonadota; Betaproteobacteria; Burkholderiales; Comamonadaceae
Source: RNAcentral
GGUACCACUCCUUCCCAUCCCGAACAGGACAGUGAAACGCGUCAGCGCCGAUGAUAGUGCGGGUUCCCGUGUGAAAGUAGGUCAUCGUCAGGC